GCAAAAAUGUGUGGGUUCGCCCAUGUAGAUUUUACAAAGCACGCUUCCAAGAAAAGUAUCUAAGGUUAAUGCAAUAGAAUCCGUACCGUAAACCGACACAGGUAAUCAGGUCGAGUAGACCAAGGCGAACGAGUGAGAGGUCUUCAAGGAACUCGGCAAAAAAGCAGCCGUAACUUUGGAAUAAGGCUUGCCGUUCUUAAUUUAUUAAGAUCGGCCGCAGCGAAAGUAUCUCUGGCAACUGUUUAUCAAAAACACAGCUCCCUGCGAACUCGCAAGAGGAUGUAUAGGGGGUGACGCCUGACCAAUGCGAGAAGGUCAACUAUCGACGUUGUAUAGUAGCAAUAUUAUAUGGUGAUUGAUAUAAGCCCUCGUGAAUGUCGGCCGUAACUAUAACGGUCCUAAGGUUUUGCAUUUGAGUGCAAACUCGAAUGUAAAACGGACUAGGACAGGUUAUAGAAAAAGAUAAACAAUUAAUAAAAAUUUCAGGAACCAUUUCAGCUACCUAGUAUUAUAGUAAUGUAGUAUUAGUCCAUACUUGAUGAACGAGAGACCAACGUCAAGCAUCCUAAUCUGUAAAGAUGGAUGAAGAUAGAGUCCUUCUUAGGGGUACAGAAGAGCGAAGUACCUUGUCGGGUAAGUUCCGACGCGCACGAAUGGCGUAAUGACUGGAGAACUGUCUCGAAGACCUGCUCGGUGAAAAUACAAUACCGGUGAAGAUGCCGGUUACCUGCAGAUAGACGAAAAGACCCUAGAAGCUUUACUGCAGCUUGAUAUUGAGCAUGUGAUUGCAUUACGUAGCAUAGUUGGGAGAGGUUAUACGUACGAUUUCGGUUGUGCGGUACUCGUCAGUGAAAUACCAAUUUUUGUGACUAUAUGUUCUAAUCUCUACGGCAAAAACGCAGAGAGACAGUAUCUGGUGGGUAGUUUUACUGGGGCGGUAUCCUCCUAAAGAGUAACGGAGGAGUUUAUUAAGGUUAGCUAGGCGCGAAUGGAAACCGUGCCGAUAGUGUAAUGGCACAAGCUAGCUUAACUGUAAGGCGUACUGGCCGAGCAGAUACGAAAGUAGAACAUAGUGAACCGACAUUUCGCAUUAGAUGCGGAUGAAGAUUAACGGAUAAAAGCUACUCUAGGGAUAACAGGCUAGUUCCGCCUAAGAGUUCAUAUCGACGGCGGAGUUCGGCACCUCGAUGUCGGCUCACCUUAUCCUGGUGGUGGAGAAGCUGCCAAGGGUUUAGCUGUUCGCUAAUUAAAAAGGUACGCGAGCUGGGUUCAAACCGUUCAGAGAUUAAUCAGUGAAAACUGAUUGAGACUUGGACAGUUUGAACCAAUUGAGGAACACGAAAAAAUGAAAGUUUUUUCUAACUGUUUUAAUCUGAGAUUAAGACCGCGUGUACUGUGGUACACUCACGGCGGCAUACAAUUUAUUGUAUGUGAAGUUCACUUAUAUCGGUAAAAUCCUAUUCGAAAAGUUGGAUAAUACCGAGGGAAGUGUAAAAACACCCGUAGAGAACUAAACGUCAACGACCCACACUCACGAAAGU
Molecule: ribosomal RNA, 1541 nt
Filed under: wastewater metagenome
Description: bacterial LSU rRNA
Rfam family: Bacterial large subunit ribosomal RNA (bases 1-1318)
Source: RNAcentral